Molecule: long non-coding RNA, 234 nt
Organism: Sardina pilchardus (European sardine)
Lineage: Eukaryota; Metazoa; Chordata; Actinopteri; Clupeiformes; Clupeidae
Exons: 3
Source: RefSeq, a predicted model, not a curated record
GGCUCUGGAGGCCUUGGAGGGUGACCUGGCAACCCAGCGGGACCUUCGUCAGGAAUUGGUCAUCACUAUUGGAUUGGCAGGGGGAGCCGAUGUCAAAGAUGUCUUUUUUGAGAAACUGCAUCUGAAGGCAGUAGUGAUUGAUGCAGUGAGGCGCAAUCCAACCUGCUCGGCUGCUACGGAUUUACAGAUCGGCUACAAAGGCUACGAAGAGAUGGUUUAACUGGGCGCGAUGUG